Molecule: long non-coding RNA, 2058 nt
Organism: Canis lupus familiaris (dog)
Lineage: Eukaryota; Metazoa; Chordata; Mammalia; Carnivora; Canidae
Exons: 3
Source: RefSeq, a predicted model, not a curated record
CUCAAACCUGCCUCUUGGAGGGACGCUGAUGGCUGGAACUUUGCUGUGCACUUCCCUGGGCCCUGGGAAGACUGCUUGGGGCCGACUUUUACCAGCAUGCAACUCAUGUGGUGCAGCUAGGUGACUGGGAAGACAGAGACUUGCCUGGAUGAUCUGAUAGAAAAAGGCAACCAGCCAGGAGCAGUCAUGACUUAUUCCAUUAUUGUACCUGGUGCUGCUGGGAUGGUGAAGGAAGUGGAAGCCACAGCCCUUGCCUGCAAAGGGAUGACUAGAUGGGAUGACUACUGCCUGAAAUAUCAAGAAGUGCUGUCCAGAAUGUCAUGAGAAGCAUGGAGCAGCCAACAUGAAGUCAUGGACUAACAACCUUCCUGCAUGUUAGGGCCGGGAGUUUGGGAGGCCUUCUUCUGUUUACUUGGACCAAAGGAAACUUGGAGCUCUGCUGGGCCCCAGAGUAGCUCCAGAAUCAGAAGUGUUCAUCAUUCCUUUGAGCACAGAUCCAGGGAGUGUUUGACCAUGAGUUCUCCCUAGAGUCAACUCUUCAGCCAAGUGUGAACAGUCCUUGUAUAAUCCUGGCCAAUGCUCAAGGGCACUGUUAGGUUUUUCCAAAGAAGUAUCCUGGGCCUUUACAUGGGUUUCUCCAUCUCUUGCUUCCUUUCCUGCUAUCGUGUGAUUGGAAUACUGCUGUCCUUAAGGCUGUGUCCCUUUGGUACCAUGAGCUCAAUACUGUUGCCUGUCCUCCUGGCCUUGGCCCCAUCCAAUGCUCUUGGCUGAGAGAUCAGUGGACAGCACUGCAGCAUCAGCCUGCACUGAGGUUUUUCCUAAGAUCCUCCUCUAAGCUGUUCCGCACAAGCACAGGAGUUGUGUGUACAGCUCGUGCUCCAUUAUUAGUUCUCUGAAGGGCACUAUUUGGAUCCACCUCACACUGAUGGAAAACCCAACCUCUAAGGGAUUGGUUUGUUCUAGCAAUCUUUUCAAGAUGCGUUUUGAGAGCCUGUCCUCUCUUAAUCUUUCCUGUCCUUUUGGCCACUCAUUCUUACCUCCUCACCCUCCCAGCUGCUGUGGGCUCCAGAUGUUCCAGAGAUGCUGCCAGGGGUGACUUGCUAUGCACCAUGAGGCUGUGCAAGCAUGGAGAAACUUGGCCAAGCUAACAAGAUGGUACCCAAGAGAAAGAGUGUCUUGAACCCCUAACCCUCUUCAGCAUAAGCUUUAUCCCUUUGAAGAUGUUUGUGUCCUGAGGAUUUCACUGACUUCUUAGGCUUCACACAGACACAUUUUUAGCCCAAGCAACUGCAUAGUGUUCAGUGGUCUUAUUCACGAUCAGCUUAUAAGUUAUCACAAAAACCUUCUUCUGGUUUCCCUGGCUCAUGGAAAGCCUUGGUAAACUCUGUGCAAAACUAAUUUGGUCAUAUCACAGCAUAUUAAUAUGUAUGUUCGGACUCAGGGAACCAAAAAUCCAAGUCAUAAAAUGGUCACUCAUCCUUUUGAGUUCCCAAAUCCAAAAGAAGGCCUCGAGUCUCAGAAUAUACAGAAAGAAACAAUGGAAGGAACAAAUGCACAAACAAAUAAAAGAAAAUAUUCUAAGAUUCAAGAAAGCUUCUGUUUCUUCCACCUAUUGAUGCACAUCUAUGUAAAUGCCUUCUCUCCUUGCCUGAUCCAAUCUCAUGUCCAACAACAGAUAGAUGGUAGAUGGAUAAACUGAUCCAAAGGAAAUAAUCGUUCUGCAUCACUCUCCUUAAAGUGACUCACCACAUCGUGAAGGAGAGCCUAGCUUUACCACACACAGAGAAUGGCCUGGAAUUUGCACCAUCUCUGUUAAUAAAAUCACCAACUAUCACCUUGUGUAAAUCAUAGGACACAUCAGUCCCUUGGCAAAUGUUUCCAAGUGUCAUCAAUGUGGCAUCAGGACUGCUGAUAUUUUUAAACCAAUCCAGGCUUGGUCGCCUUGAAGAAUGCUAUUGGCCAUUCUUUUUUCUUUUAAGAUUUUAUUUAUUUAUAAGAGACAGAGAGAGCGAGAGAGAGAAGCAGAGACACAGGCAGAGGGAGAAGCAAGCUCCAUGC